RNAcentral lists this transfer RNA (75 nucleotides) under Candidatus Yanofskybacteria bacterium RIFCSPLOWO2_02_FULL_47_9b. RNAcentral describes it as "tRNA-Ile". It matches the Rfam family "tRNA". From Rfam's summary of the family: Transfer RNA (tRNA) molecules are approximately 80 nucleotides in length. Their secondary structure includes four short double-helical elements and three loops (D, anti-codon, and T loops). Further hydrogen bonds mediate the characteristic L-shaped molecular structure. tRNAs have two regions of fundamental functional importance: the anti-codon, which is responsible for specific mRNA codon recognition, and the 3' end, to which the tRNAs corresponding amino acid is attached (by aminoacyl-tRNA synthetases). tRNAs cope with the degeneracy of the genetic code in two manners: having more than one tRNA (with a specific anti-codon) for a particular amino acid; and 'wobble' base-pairing, i.e. permitting non-standard base-pairing at the 3rd anti-codon position. The record is from RNAcentral. Lineage: Bacteria; Candidatus Yanofskyibacteriota.
GCGGGCGUAGUUAAGUGGUAUAACGCGUCACUGAUAAUGACGAGGCCGUAGGUUCGAUUCCUACCGCCCGCACCA